UUGGGGGUGCCCCUGCCCACUAACAAAUCCUAACCCUAACCAGGGGGGUCCCUAAGAAAGACAAGAAAGUCAGAAAGGAGAAAGAAAAGCAAAGAAACAGAAAAAGUUAAGGAAAGUCACGUAAUAAAAGUAUAAAAGCCAAGAGAGGCAGAAACAGAGAAAAAUGAAAGCCAAGAGAGGCAGAAACAGAGAAAAACGUAAGACAAGAUAAAGUCACGUAAGAGAAAUAAAAGUAUAAAAGCCAAGGGAGGCAGAAACAGAGAAAAACGUAAGACAAGAUAAAGUCACGUAAUAAAAGUAUAAAAGCCAAGAGAGGCAGAAACAGAGAAAAAAGUCACGUAUGAAAGCCAAGAGAGGCAGAAAUAGAGAAAGCAGAAAAACACAAAUAGAAAACCUAAAAGAAGGAGGAGUCAAGUGACAGUAUAAAAGCCAAGAGAGGCAGAACAGAGAACAAGCAGUCAGAGACACAUUGGGCCAGCCUGAGGAAGGCGAAACUACGCCGAAACGUCGCGAAGGCCCAAUGAAGUGCACUAAACCCUAGAAAUGGGUAAUUUUUUGAACCAGGGCAGGGACACCACUACCCAGCCCCAUCGAUGGCCCGUGCACUUCAGGCUACCAGCUUGCUGGUGGCCUGUUCCUUACUCAACACCUAACCAGCCAGUGCCUCGUGGGGUUGGGGGUGCCCCUGCCCACUAACAAAUCCUAACCCUAACCAGGGGGGUCCCUAAGAAAGACAAGAAAGUCAGAAAGGAGAAAGAAAAGCAAAGAAACAGAAAAAGUUAAGGAAAGUCACGUAAUAAAAGUAUAAAAGCCAAGAGAGGCAGAAACAGAGAAAAAAGUCACGUAUGAAAGCCAAGAGAGGCAGAAAUAGAGAAAGCAGAAAAACACAAAUAGAAAACCUAAAAGAAGGAGGAGUCAAGUGACAGUAUAAAAGCCAAGAGAGGCAGAACAGAGAACAAGCAGUCAGAGACACAUUGGGCCAGCCUGAGGAAGGCGAAACUACGCCGAAACGUCGCGAAGGCCCAAUGAAGUGCACUAAACCCUAGAAAUGGGUAAUUUUUUGAACCAGGGCAGGGACACCACUACCCAGCCCCAUCGAUGGCCCGUGCACUUCAGGCUACCAGCUUGCUGGUGGCCUGUUCCUUACUCAACACCUAACCCUAACCCUAAAAACAAUUGGACACAACACAUCCUGACCCUAACCACAUACAAUCUGAAUACAAACAAUUGGACAUUAUACAAAAAUCAAUAAAGACAAACACAUAAUUAGGACAAAACAAUUAAAGGAGGAAUUGGAGGACACAAACCAAUUGGACAUAAUACAAAGGUCAAUAAGACAAACACGUAAUUAGGACAAAACAAUAAAAGGAGGACGUGGAGGACACAAAACAAGUGGACAAAACACAAAAGUCAAUAAAGACAUACAUAUAAUUAGGACAAAAAAAUAAAAGGAGGAUUUGGAGGAUACAAAACAAUUGGACAUAACACUAAAAGCCAAAACGAGAAACACGUAAUUGGGACAGAAAAAUCAAAGGAGGAUUUGGAGGACACAAAACAAUUGGGUAUCACACAAAAGGUCACAGAGGAGGACAUAACAAGGACAAAGGAAGGUGGGACAGGAUGGUUACAAAGAAAGGAAUAAAAUCAUAAAGUCACGUAAAAACCAAAGGAAAGGACGAAUAAGAAGGGGGUGCCAUAAAUAACAUAAGACAAAUAUUGGAAAGGAAAUUUAAGAAGGGGGUGCCAAUAAAACAAUAAAAACAAAGAAAGCCAAAGAAAAGACAGGACAAAACAAUAAGAAUAUUAAACAGAAAAAUAAUGAAACAGAAAACCCAAGAGUGGGAGGAGACAGCACACUAUAAAAGCCAAGAGAGGCACACAGACAACACACAUAGACACACACGUUGGGCCAGCCUGAGGAAGGCCUAUAACCGGCCGAAACGUCGCGACGGCCCAAUGACACACAAGUACAUUAUUAAAACACAAAACACAAAACACAAAAUUAUAAUAAUAACCUACCUACGGGUUGUUUUUGGAAACGGGACAAGGACAUCAUACCAGUCCGUUGGACGAUCACAGCCUCUUGGGGCAUGCUAUGGGGGACCUUGACGCCCGGGAUGGGAACAGGUAUGGACAGUGCAUUGGAGCCCGGCCCCCUUCGGGGACCGGACUCCCAACUUGAUCUCCCCUAAC
Long non-coding RNA from Astatotilapia calliptera (eastern happy), 2193 nucleotides. The record is from Ensembl. Lineage: Eukaryota; Metazoa; Chordata; Actinopteri; Cichliformes; Cichlidae.